CAAAAAGGUUGUCUAUAUACUUGUAUAUAGUGCCAUGUCUUUCCGAGGUGAUGAAAAAAGAUCUCUAUUGAAUUUUAUCGAGAUAAAACUAUUGGAAAACUACAAAAUAUCAAUCCAACAAAAGACAUGAUAUAUGUACAUCAUAUUAUUCUGAUAGUAUAUUUUUUUCUAUGAGUAAUUUUCUAUCCCGACAUGAGCUAGAAUGGAGAGAGAAAAAAGGGAAAAGAAAAAAUUAAUAAUUCUGCAAGAUAUUUUCGGAAGUACUGUGCUUGAAAACUUUCACCGUCCUUUUGUCCGCAGUACCUGAUGCAGGUACAAUAUUAUAGAUACCAAGGCUUGAAAGUACGAUUUAGAUUUUAAAAACUAUGCUCAUGCAGAGGGUUUCAUGCAGUUAAGCGCAACACGAUGAUAUUAACAUGUUUUAGUCAUGAAUUUAUACUUUAGACCGAUUAAAUAAUUUAUUGCGUUAUCCUUGGCAUUUGUCUCUCUAUAGCUCUGAUAUUUUAAAAUUAUAUUUCCAGUCGCAGUGGACACAUACAGAUUUCUCGUAAAGAUAAUUUAGAAAGUUCCUAAUCUCGCUCGAAGAAGAGAGAGCUUCAUCGAUAUAUAUUUAUCAAAUUCUAUAUACAUAAUUUUGGACGCGUGCCUCUAAUAAAUCGACUUUUAUCAAAAUCGAAAAUCUCUGUAUCAGCAUGACCUAUCUUCUAAGUUUUGGAAUUUGUUUUGGAUAUACGAACAUACAUUACUCAGCAGACGCACAUGUAUUAUUAAUACACUUUUUACUUUCAGCGACUUAAGCAAAUGCUUAAAUUUAAACUUAAGCGGAUGCUUACCUAAGAGUUAGAUUUACCUAUAUGUAUAUUAUAUAUACCUGGCUAUACAAUGGCUCAUGAUUUUUUAACGCUUCCACUUAAUUGUUAAACUACAGAUUAGUCUUAAGGAUCGCAUAGGACGACUUUCAUUGUGAUAAUUCCUAAUCAGGUCGAGUCUGGUAAACAAGGGAAAGAAAAAGAAAAAAAGAUACUGUUGUCAAAACGAGAGUAAAUAGAGAAACUAAAGUAACAGUGAUAACAGUGUUAAGGAUCAAGUGAUAGAUAUAAGCAGAAUCCGCACGUGUGUGCGCGCGCGCGAUAGAGAAAGAGAGAAAGAAAAAAAGAGUGAUUGGAUGAGUGAGUGAGCGUGAGAAAGAAAAGAGAGAAAGUGCGAUAAUAGAAUUGAUAUUUAUAAUUAAAUAUUAUUGUACACACAGAUAAAACACAUUUCUCAUAAAGAAGAUAAUCCAAGGCCAAUUUGCAAAAAUCUUGUAGAACUGCGAAAAUCACGAUUACGAUUAUUUCUUACGACUUUCUCUUAGUGAAAUAUAAGUUUAAACAUUGACAAAUGAUUGCUAAACGAAUGCUAAUGCAUUUAUUGAUACAAAGAGAGAUUGAUACAAAUUUAUUGAGAAGAAAACUUAUUCUAUGAUUCACAUAAUUUUCAAUGUAGAUUGUGUUUGAGUUAUUGUGACACAUACAGUUGGGUGACUCAUCAAUAAAUGAGUUGCAUAGUAUAAAUAAAUAAAACAGAAAAUUUACGUUGCUCAUACAGCGAUGUUGUUAACGUUAAACGUUAAUUACACUUCAACAAGUGUAUUGACAUUUAAAUGUUAAUUACACAAUUGAAUAUAAUUUCACAAAACUAUCGCGACUGUAAUGUUAUGCUUUCUGUUGGGAGAGCGAUGUUUUCACCUGAGCUUGCUGAAAUGUCUGCUGUAUCUUGUCGAAUGUCUCUCUUGUAACCUGUCGGUAACAUAGCGUCUUAUCAUCAGAGCAUACGUCAUAUUAAUUACGUAGUUCAUCUUCGUGAACAUAGAGGCGCUUGUGAGGGCCACAAAUCAACUUUAGCUUCUUAUGUUUUUCUAUGGUGAAAUUCUAAUGCUGACAUCUGUAUUUCAAAUUUUUCGAGUAUACAUGCUUUGUAGCAUUUUGGAAGUUUUGAUUUCCAUGGAGAAACUAAGCAAAACAACGGAUUGACAGCAAUUUUUUACGCUCGCAGUAUUAGAUUAUUGAAUGCUGAAUACAAGUUGGCAGACUUUUGGCUUAGAUUAUGUUCGAAAGUGACGAUUGGAUCUUUGAAGUUGCUGUUAAUGAUAUCCAUGGGACAGCGAUACAAACCCACUCUCAAUGUCAGAAUAAAGAAGAAACGUCGUCCACCAAACGACGUAAAAUUGAUGAUUGCAAGGCUUCAUUCAUCGCAGGAAAUGAUACUUGUGAAACCAAAGUGAAUGCCACAAAGGCCACAAAGGAUUUGUUGCAUAAUAAUUUACUCGACAGCAAUAAGAAUGAUGUUACACGUGAACACCUACUACUAGGAAUUUUUCAGAAGAAUAUCUCUCAAAAGAUAACAGGAGAGAAACAAUAUCCUCAGUCGUCUAAAACAAAUACAUCAAGCUCAUCUUCAUGUGAGCAGCCCAAAGAAAAAAAAAGCAUUAACUUUACGAAUAAAGCAGCAGUUGGUAAAGAAGCAAAGUUGAUUAGAAUAUUUCCUGGACCAGCUGGAUUAAUAGCACGCAUGAAAAAUGGCAAUACCUCUGUUGCUGCAUACUUAAACAAAGUGAAAGAAUUAGAAAGUAAAUCAACAACGGAGCACAUUGAAAAUAAUUUCUCUAAGUCAUCCCAAGAUGAGAAGAACUUGUUUGGUGAGAAAGCUUGGAAGUUUUUACUGGAUGAUCUGCCAAGAAAUUUUUUUAAUGAGUAUGGAAUUUCCACUAUUAAAAGUAGGGCAAACGCUAGUCAUUGUAAUAGUAUGAAGGUAAAAUUCGUAGCAGGUAGAUUGGAUUACAUUGAUCAUAGUCACAACGAUCCAUUUAUUACAUUAAAAGAUUCAACAGAUAGUAUAGAAGGCAUCGUUCACCGCGACAUUCCAUUGAAUUAUCCAGGUGUAUUGGAACCAAAUGUGAUUCUCCUUUUACACGAUGUAGGUUUGUUAAAGACUACAACGCGUGUGGUGACUAACAAAUAUCAUAUUUUAGUAUCUCGAGUAAAUUUACUGGCUGUAUAUUCCAAUAAAGGUCGAAUUAUACAAACCUCUCGUAUGGAAAAUAUAUUAUCCAGUAUUUCGAAUAUCGAAUUGACCAAAGGUGAUUGUAUUACGCCGAUUUCGAGUGAUUUCGAUUAUAAAGUCGAAUCACGCCCAACUUCUUCCGUUAAUGCAUCGAAUUAUCAACGAGUUAGUUCGAAACCUAUGUUGGCUAACAAUUCCACACCGUUACAUCAGGUGGACGAAAAAAAGCACGAAAAUUGCAAACAAGAUUUUGAAAAGGAUAAUAAAAAUUGCGAAGCGACGGAUAAAAUAUUCGAAUCUUUCGAGGACUUGAUCGAUAUGGAUGAUGAUAUGAAUGAUGUUUUCUUUACUAUCGAACCUCGCGUCUUAGAUGAGAACAAAUAUUUGAAACAUUCGUCAUCCGAGAAUACUAGUACACAAAUCAGCGAAAUUCAACAACACGAACUGCAAACGCAGAGCAGUGACUGCUUGGAAAAUGCGAGUGGGGGAUCAUCUGCGAUAAAUUUAGCGAAUAAGAUUAAAUCUGCGUCGCCGGUAACGAAGUGUAACGUCGAGAAUUCUAAAAAUCUAGCAAGUUACUUCACUGGUAAAACACUUCAAGAUAGUGAAUUUGAUUCGGACGACGAGAUUCUGUCGCAGUUAGACGUAGAUAACGUUGUUAGUAAUCAUGAAAAGGAUAAAUGAAGAUCUUUUUGUAAAUACUAGAUAUAUCCAGUACUACAGUCGCUCACCAAGUGCUCAGUGAGCGAUUGUAGCACUCUGCUCUUUUCUUGAAAUAAUUACGUAUACGUAAGUUUCAUUGCGCAGCUGUUUAUGAUGCGAUUAUGCGCAAUAAAACUUACGCGACUAUUUCAUGAAUACGUGUCCUGGAUAUAUCCACUGUCUGGCUAAAAUCACUCACGAGAUUAUAUUUCGAAUCGACUAGUAUCGAAAUAAGAGAAAAUGUACUAUAAUGUAUAUAUAUAAGCAAAUACACGACAAAUUAUACUUGAUAUAAUUAUAUAUUUGUGAAUUCUGUGGAAAAUUGAGUUGUGUAGAAAAUUGAAUUGAGUUGUGUUGAAAAUCAUUCGUGCAUUUAACUAUCACACAUUAUAAUCCUUCCAUUCCAAUCUAUUUGUACAUCCAAUAUUUAGCUUUUAUUGUUCUUAUUUCUCUUAAUUAUGUUUUAUCUUUAAAACUCUAGAUAUAUGUUUAGUGGAUAGAUUGUGUUGAAGUUAUACUCGUGAGAUUAUAUUUAAUCGAUUAUAUUUAAUCGAUGUGUCAUCUGUCGUGGAUUUAUGACGUAUGUUAUUAAUUAUAUGACAUGACAACGUCAUCCAAUUCGACACGCGUUUGCGACGUUCACGUGUCAUCCAAUUCGAUCAAUUGGUUUCGUAAUAAAAAAGAUAAUAAUACGUUAUGCGAUUUUACAUAUACAUCAUUAUUGCGCCUCGACAACACGACGUCAAUAGGUUUUUGUGAUGAGUUUGGUGAAUAUUAUAUAAAUGCGAGCGUAAUAUGUAGCUUUGCGUUGCUGUGACUGUGGAAAAAUGAACCGUGCCAACUGCCGAUCUGGAUCGAUUAAUGACUGAAUAAAAGCCGAAUGAUGAUAGAAGAUAAAACGUCGAACUCUUGGAUUCGUGGAGAAUCGGCCGCCUUCCCUACCGAACUCAUUCGAGCCGACCGCUUUAAUCCCUAUCACUGUUCUAUGACUCGGUCAAAUUAUGCUCCAUAAUGCUCCUGCGGUCAGAUAUUCCAGUGAAUUAUCAGACGGUGUAUCUCAGGGUCGAUCCGGUGGAUACACGUUGAUGCACACGCUAACUAUCGAUCCUACGUUCUCUGUGAGGCUCUUCUUUUCAAGGUAAAGCAAGUUUUUCCCGUAGCAGUGUGUUGUAUUCACGGUGGACACUAUUUACGGUGGACAGUAUUUACGUUGCAACGAAACGACGAAGAUAUUAAGCGAGAUAUUGUUACACCGUGUGCACGGACGAAAAAAUUGCGUCUGUUGGUGACAAAAUGUGAGAUAAGAGAUGAUGAAGACCAGGAAAUUACGGCCGUACAAAGCUACUUGUUCUUACGAGAGUGAUUAUCUUGAGAAAUCUCGCGUAUUAUCUAUUUCCGUGUCACCCUCUUGUUUGACAUGCACAUGCCAAUGUUGGAGUGUUGUUUUGUGUAAAUUAUGUGUUAUUAUCUUUAGCGAAUAUUCAACGGCAUCCGGUGGAAUGUUUUGCUAUGUUGUCAUUUUAAUUGGUUUUCAGGCGCCGAUUCAGUAAACAUUCUUUUUUUUUAUUUCUUCCCGGCGGAAGUUUGCCGAGAAACGCGAUGUAAUGUUCCGCUAUGAGUAUUUCUGCGAGUAGCCUUCGCAAGUUAUACGUACGAAGAAAAUAUCUUCCAAUCUAAAGAAGUAAGACGCGAUAAAAAUAUCUUCUAUCAAUAUCAGUGAUUACAUUGUCACGUACCGUUUGCACAAGAAAAUUGCCGGUACUCUCAUCACGUUAUACGUAUACGUGCGAAAUAAUACGCUUGUGAGUUUUCUUCAUUCGCUAAGAAGUAUUUUCGCGCAUAACUCGCAUGUGUACGCUUUGGUUUAAUUUUGCUGAAUCGGAACUACUAUUGCGUGACCAGUGAAUGUAGACGUAGUAAAUAUCACUCAACCAGUUUUCUGUUGAUAUAGUCUGUAUGUUGACGUAGAAAAACGUUCCUAUCGUUUUGGGCAUGGAUUAUUUUAUAAUGUUAAUUUAUAUGAAUCUUAAUGUUGCAACUAAUUAAAUUUUAAUGUGUUGAUGUUUCAA
This is an RNA transcript of Odontomachus brunneus, 5813 nucleotides long. RefSeq lists it as uncharacterized. The record is from RefSeq and is a predicted model, not a curated record. The transcript is spliced from 5 exons. NCBI's taxonomy places the organism in Eukaryota, Metazoa, Arthropoda, Insecta, Hymenoptera, Formicidae.